Molecule: small nuclear RNA, 107 nt
Organism: Nyctereutes procyonoides (raccoon dog)
Lineage: Eukaryota; Metazoa; Chordata; Mammalia; Carnivora; Canidae
Source: RefSeq, a predicted model, not a curated record
GUGCUUGCUUUGGUAGCACAUACACUAACAGUGGAAUAAUACAGAGAAGAUUAGCACGGCCCCUGCACAAGGAUGACAUACAAAUUCAUGAAGUGUUCAGUAUUUUU